GGUGCGUGGAAUUCCACGCGAGUGCCGGGGAAUUCCUGGGGAGCCGGGCUUCUGCUUUGGCUCCCAGCGUGUUGACCGAGCCCGCUUCGCACAGCCCUUCCUAGGGUGUGGAGAGCGGGCCCCGCCCUGAAGGGGCACCGUGGGCUGGGGGGCCUGUUUUGGAGCAGGCACCUGUGGCCGAACUCCGUGACCAUGAAGGUCAAGGUCAUCCCCGUGCUCGAGGACAACUAUAUGUACCUGGUCAUCGAGGAGCUCACGCGCGAGGCGGUGGCCGUGGACGUGGCCGUGCCCAAGAGGGUGAGGGCAGGCCGCGGGCGGCAGGGACCCGGCCGUGCCCCCCGAGAGCCUCCCCGACCCCCCUGCUGCUGGAGAUCGUGGGCAGGGAGGGGGUGUCUCUGACCGCUGUGCUGACCACCCACCAUCACUGGUGAGCGCCGGCGGGGCGGGGGGAGCCACGAGGACGCCGCCUUGUCCCAGCCCAACCUAACUCGGCCCCCGCCCGCCUGCAGGGACCACGCGCGGGGAAACCCGGAGCUGGCGCGGCUGCGUCCCGGGCUGGC
RNAcentral lists this small RNA (560 nucleotides) under Pongo abelii (Sumatran orangutan). RNAcentral describes it as "retained intron". The record is from RNAcentral. Lineage: Eukaryota; Metazoa; Chordata; Mammalia; Primates; Hominidae.